Molecule: long non-coding RNA, 4492 nt
Filed under: Bemisia tabaci
Lineage: Eukaryota; Metazoa; Arthropoda; Insecta; Hemiptera; Aleyrodidae
Description: lncRNA ENSSSA3NGG000636
Source: RNAcentral
UCAAUACGCAAGAUGCAGUUGUUUUGGAGACGCUUGAAAGUUUGGCACGGGAUCAAGAGAUAGGUGAAUCUUCUCGCCUGAAUGUUUCUUACAGCCAGCCAGUUUCUGGUAAAGCUCAAGAUGUAGAGCUGAUCAACAUGAGAGUGGACGAUGACAGCAUACUUGGCACGCAGACGAUAGGAUGUAUUCAAGCCAACGAUCUGAAUGAAGACAUCCACGAAGAUCUAAGCAAUGUUUUCAACAGUGCUGCCGUAGAGGAAACCAGUCCACCAAGAGAUUCUCCCACUGAUAUCAGCCAAGAAGGGGUGCUAGAACCUCCGCAUGAAAAAAUUCACAGUUUAACCCAAGUUGCACAGAAAAUUUAUGAUACUGAGGAUUCUUCUGUUCCAUCUGAAAAUCAAUCUUUCCAGUGUGAAAAUUCAAUGUCAAGAGAUGGAAGUCAAAAGACUGUCAGUAGUGGAAACAUUCCCCAAGUAGAUGGUGCACAUGAUUGUCUGGACGUAAUCUCUCCUUCUGAGAAAGUUUUGGUGAAAAAGCACCAACAAGAUGUUUUGAAGGAAUGCAAGGAUGCUUUCAAUCGUUAUGUAUUCUCUCCCGAAAAUAACUACAACUCAGUUUGCUCACCUUUCCACACCUCAGGUAGCAGUAGUCAACUUGGCUGUCUCUCUAGCAACAAAAAACGAAUGCCAAAAAGAAGCAAACCAAAGCGAAGACGAAACAAAUCACUGCCUCGUAAAAUACUAAAGAAUCUCUCUUCUGAAAGCGAAGAUUGUGGGAAUGAUGACUCGACCAGUGUUUGCUCAUCAAGCACUACUGAGUUGCAAAGUCAUAACCAUGUGGCUCAUGUGAUACCCAGGAGGUAAUUAUGGAUAUCAUCGGAGCCUCUGAACCAACUGCUUCAAUAUCUGAAAAUCCUGAAAGCUCUGAAGAUUGUGCUGUUGUUCUAGAACCCUUUGAAAGUUUAAUGGAUGUGAAUGAUGACAGACCCGAUGGAUGGUUCUAUGAAAGUUUUGAAGACUUCUAUAAAAGUGAAGGAGGAAAUGAUUGCUCCAGAGUUGCAUCAAAUCCACAAAAGAAAUAUCCCUAUUGGCCUAAAAAUGAGAGGAAUUGUGAUCAUACCGAAGCUUUCAACCAGGCAAAUGCUACCUUACAAUGUUUUGUCAACUUGUCUCUUAACAAUUUAUGUCAAGAAAAUAGUGCAGGAUUUCAAACCAUACAAAGUAGAAAGGAAUUAAAACCAGUCUCAGAAAUUUCCACUCCCAUAAAUUUCUCAAGGGAUGUUGUGAAGGAUAGCUUCUCGGCAACUUUGUCUCCAUCAUUUGAGGCUCCUAACUUAGAAACCAAAAACUUUCCGCAGAUGAUACCUAACAAUGAAGUCAAGGUAACUGUCACUGCAGAUGUUCACUGUGUGGGGAGCAAGCCAGCUUUUACUUCUUCAAGAGGAAAGAGGAAAAAUGUGCCUAGUAGACUUAAAAAAUUCCAAGCAGAAUUUCUAGGAGCUUUAUCAUCUACCAGUAAAGAUGCCGAGCUAUAUGAAAUAACCGCAGCACCAUUAGAACCCAAUAAGUCUUCUGCCUGUAAAACAGUCAUCCCUUUGAUGAGAAAAAAACCAAGAAAGCGCAAAAAUGUUUUCAGGGAAAAGAAAAAGAAGAAGAAGAUUCACCUGAAAAGAAGAAACUUAGUAUCUAAGAAAUGUUUUGAUGUGGUCCUGCCACAUUCUCUAAUUGGAAAGACGCCACGGGUGAGGGACCCAAAUUCAAGAUCUUGCGAAAUAAUGCUUCACGAAGUUUCCUCGUGCACUGAAGAAAAAGAGUCAUUUAGUCCUACAGCUCUAGAAGAAUCAUUAAACUCAAACAAGGGGCCAAGAUCAUCUUCUGUAUUUGAGAAAUCUGGAACUUCCCUCUCUACUGCUUCGAAUAUCUUACCACCAGAAGGAGAUGAGACGAGUGUAUUUUCUUUGAAGGAUGCCUCUGGAAAUUCUCUCUCUACAAUCUCAGAUUUCCUAUUACAGGAAAAGAACACCAAUGACAAAACCACUGUCAAUUUUAUCGCUCUAGAAGAAAAGAAUGCUCAGCCAGAGCAAUUUAAACCACUCACUCAAAACCCUUCCUCAACAGUAGCGAAUGAAAUGCAACAAUCAUUUGCUGAGGCUCAGGUAGAAAAUACGGUCUAAGAAAGUGUAGUGUCAGACUUGAAAGAUUACCAAGUCGACUCUCAGCGGAAAACUCUAAGUGCAAUUCAGAAGUUUGCUUAUCCGAACAGGAGUUCUUUUCAAAAACUCUGUGUCCAUUGAAAACAUUGGACUUCAAAUCUGUUAACCUACCAGAAAGUAUCUCGAAUGCCCGAAUGUUGGUGUCUCAAAAAGUAAUGGAGCGUUCUCCGAAUGUCAAAUUAAAAACUUCUCAAACUGAAAAUACAGCUGAAAAAAAGGGUAAAAUAGAAAGUUCUAAUCACAGCAAAGCUUGGAACAAUGAGGAGUCCAGCACAAAAGCUAUCUCUAACCCAAAUAUUAGCCCCCCGAGUUUUCGGCUGACCUUAAUGAAAGCAACGUCACACCGAAGAUAUUGAUAAACAACAGAACAGAGUUGCAAAGUGUUCAACAUCCAUCUCCUAUGGAAGCAUCUGAAUAUGAAAUUUCUUUUUCCAAUUCCCAAGUUGAUGGAGGUCUCAAUCUGGUAAAUUCAAAUGAAAGUGACCAAUCUCAUGCCCUCUCAAAUUUUACGACAACCACACAAUUGUCACUGACAGAGGAAAAUUUUAGCAUCCUAAAAAACACUCAAGUUUCAGAAUCUGGUGCAGUUAAGUCUGUGCCUUGCUCCAAACCUGGAAGAAUGAAGGCAAGAUUGGAGGAAUCAACUCUUCUAGAUCAAGAACCUAUUGAAAAACAAGUUUCUGAACUUUUGUUAUGCAAGAUACCUACCCCAAAGCUUAGUCCUCUCUCCCUAAGUCAGCAAUUUAAUCCCUGUACUGUACAAAAAUUAGACUGCUCAAAUCAUCUGGUACAAAUAGAACAACGAGAGAUGAAACUUAUUGCUACAAAAGGUACAAAAAAAUCAGUCAAAUCUCAGAUCUGAAACCAAUGCACUUGGUGGUGUCGCCUUUAAAAGUAAACGUAUAUGUGCUAUUGAUGCAUUGAAAAAAAUCAAAGACUUAAGAACCAAAAUUAAAGAAAUGCCUCCUGAUGGUAAGUCAAUUCAUUGUGAAUCUAAUCUGGAAACUCAAAACAUGAGUCACCUUCCAGUAAUUAAAAGUCUCACCAAAGGAAGAUUAAGUUCGUCUGUAGGUUGUCAAACAGUCGAAAGCAAUCCUCCUGUUUGGGAUGGCCCAAAAAGUUUAGUCCCUUAUCACGAUGUUAGUAAUAUUGACUUGCUUCAAAGAUCAACAGGUACAAAUUCUAAUUCAAGGUUUUUUGAUCAAAUCCUACACUCUUUUCAUAGGAACUGGUAUCGUGAACUUCAGGAAUUGUCUGAUUCUCGCAACAUUCACGGUCCAAGUUUCUCACUAUCAAACACUUCCGAUUCGUCUGAUGUCAAAGCUAUCAUGACUUUUCGUCAGUGUAAUUUUCUGCCUGGUUUGACUGGUGGAACGGCAAGAGUGUCUCCAGUCGAUGCCGAAGAUAUGGCAUCUUGUAGUAAAUCAAUACUUGGGAAAAGGAAACAAGAGAACAAAGAAAAUUUUGGCACUGAUGUCCAAUAUGGGAACAAUAAUAAUGUAGUAGCUGUAAAAAAAGCCCUGGUAGCACUAGGUAACUGUAGGGUUAUCGUUGAAAGACUACCAUGUGACAUGGGCUUCAAGGCUGAUUACAGCGUCAGAUGUGUCUCCAAUGGCUUAACACCAGACUCAAGCAAAAAAGUCUUGUCUCAGUGUUUUCAUUUGCAAAAAAGCUUUUCUAAUGGUUCUAGUUUAUACCAUUGGGCUCUAGAUGGCACUAUCGACUUAUCCUCUGAUACCUCUGAUGAAGAUCUGAAACAGAAUUCAUUAAAAUCCAUUCAAAAUGCUCUGGAGAAUAACUCGCAGUCUUCAAAUUGUUCUGAUCUCAGUGAUUGUUUGUCCUCUGAAAAGUCCUCGCCAGAAAGAAGAAUCAAGCUCAGAAGGUCAAAUUUCCCAAAUGUUCAGUUCUGUUGAAACCUAUCCAGGUUGACCGGCCUCCAAACACAUGCUCAAGUAAAUCCCAAAGCUCCAAUGAAGUCAUAGUAGGAGAACUGCCUAGUUCUUCAUCAGGAAAUAAAAGAGAAAAAACCAAGAGAGGUAUCAGAAAAUUAUUACCAAGAAACAGGUCGUCACAAAUAUGUCAGGACCUGAUGAGAAGUUAACUAAACUGCAGCCUGUCGUCAAACUAUUCAAAUUAGAUUUCCAGAAAAUUAAAAAUGGCAUCUCUGCGUCUCAUGCUGAUUAUUUUUGCCUGUCGUCGGUGGAUCCACUUUGACAAGUAAGAAUGAGCUCUCUUCACCUCCUUUUUAUUGUAAUUUUCCUUGAGUUCUGUCAUGAGGCG